RNAcentral lists this long non-coding RNA (424 nucleotides) under Capsicum annuum. RNAcentral's name for it is "long non-coding RNA (CANN_LNC009023)". Lineage: Eukaryota; Viridiplantae; Streptophyta; Magnoliopsida; Solanales; Solanaceae. The record is from RNAcentral.
UACAGUUAUAAUAAACAACUAACUAUUUUAUGAUUUCUUUCUAUUUGUUCUUGGUUGGUAGACAGAGUUACAUGGUACCUGUAUCUCAUGGAAUAGUCGAGGUGCAUGAAAGCUGAUCUGAACACUAUAAUUAUAACAAACUAGCUUUUCUAUGAUUUCUUCCUUGGUAACAGAGUUACAUGGUACCUGUAUCUCAUGGAAUUAGUCGAGGUGCACGAAAGCUGACCCCAACACUACAGUUACAAUAAACAACUAACUUUUUUAUGAUUUCUUUCUAUCUGUUUUUGAUAGAUAGAGGUUACAUGGUAUCUGUACGAAAGCUAACCCGAACACCACGAUUAUAAAAAAAAUAUAUCUUUUUUAUAUAUACAGAUACUGAAUACCCUUUACUUCUAUAAACAAGAAUAUUUAAACAAUAAAUUAC